Molecule: transfer RNA, 95 nt
Filed under: Haemophilus haemolyticus
Lineage: Bacteria; Pseudomonadati; Pseudomonadota; Gammaproteobacteria; Pasteurellales; Pasteurellaceae
Also listed under: 26 other names
Description: tRNA-Sec
Rfam family: Selenocysteine transfer RNA
Source: RNAcentral
GGAAGGUCGUCAUCUCCGGUGAGGUGGCAGGACUUCAAAUCCUGUUGGGGACGCCAGCGUUCCCGGGUGGGUUCAACUCCCAUGACCUUCCGCCA